Molecule: long non-coding RNA, 1092 nt
Organism: Pomacea canaliculata
Lineage: Eukaryota; Metazoa; Mollusca; Gastropoda; Architaenioglossa; Ampullariidae
Exons: 3
Source: RefSeq, a predicted model, not a curated record
UUUGGUCGAGGUCUGACAGGGGAGAUAAGCCUCAAUGUGGUUACUCCAGUCUGCACGUGCAGCGCUGCGCAUGCUCCAAGCUCAAGCGUCGACGGUUUGCUGCACGUAACUACUCUGUCUGAUCGCUUCGUUCCUCCCUGUCCACCCCCCGCACACCUCUAAUACUCGCCGUCCGACAAAAAUAAAAACCCGUUGCUGUUACACAAAACGUGGGCCAAUUCCUGACUCCAGAACUAUGUUAAAAUGGGACAGUGGCUCGAUUAAAGCUGACACCAGGCCCUCCGCGAUGUGCAGCGAAUAAUUUGAAAAAUACCUGGGCGGUCAGCCGAGAGAAUCGCUAGACUGUCGACACGCAGAGUAGCGCCAACAGCUGUCAACCCGGUGGUUGGGAGGUGGAGGGGGAUAUCCGCAUCCAGUGUAAUUGGACCUCCUGCCACAAAUGAGUGUGGAGCCACCCAGGCGCUAGUCCCGCCUGCAGACUGCGAUAACCGCCGACAAACCUCCACAAAUGGGGGAGCCUGUGAUCAACAGCAACGGCAGGAAGUGGAUAAGACGCUCAUAGUGAAGAACUUCAGACAUGCUGGCAUCCAUGGAUGUGUGUAGCUGCCAUGUUGCACAGUGACCAAGGGAGUCACAUCAUCCAUCUCCUACAAGUAAAAUGCUGGAGCUGCUACGAGCGCAAGUUCACUGCCCGCUGCAAGCGAGGCUCUGGAUUUCUCGCGGUCUUCACUGUAGGGAGGAUGUUUGACAUGAAGCUGGCCACAAUGGCUAACACCACAUUCUUGUGGCAUCUUCGUGUUUUAGCGACACCAGGCUUUUACACCAGACAUCAGCAGCGAUAGCAAUCAGUGUCCUUCACAUCACUCUCCUGCUUGUAAGGUCCUCCACCACUGCGCAUGCGUGUCAGAUUCUCCCAGUCGCUCACCGGAAAAUAAAGUAUUUUGUGCGAAACAUUUUGUAGUUUACGAUUGUGUAUAUUUUCUUACUUUUUUGAAAUGAUUUCUACAGACACUGCUUAAGAAAAUAUAACCCCAUUAGAGUAUCUUAAUAACUGUAGUAUCAAUUACAGAUCUCAUCAUAUGUGGCUAUCAA